This is a long non-coding RNA of Haemorhous mexicanus (house finch), 608 nucleotides long. RefSeq lists it as uncharacterized. The record is from RefSeq and is a predicted model, not a curated record. The transcript has 2 exons. NCBI's taxonomy places the organism in Eukaryota, Metazoa, Chordata, Aves, Passeriformes, Fringillidae.
AAAGGCAUGAAAUUGGGCAAGGACAGGUUUGCAAACAACCUCAGUUUCGGGAGCUUGGCAAGAUUUUAUUUCAGCCAGAGAAACUCAAACCAAGAGGGACCUUUGCCAAAUGGUCUGGCACCAGGGCAGCCAAUGCAGGGAAUUCAAGGCAAGGGACAUCGAGAGCAGCAAACCCUCCUGCCAGCACCUGCAUGGCUCCCAGGAAUUCCAGGCCCUUGACACUGGUGUCCCACAAGGCUUUUCCCAAUGGAAAGAUCCUCCAGUUCCUCCCAGAGCAACUCCACACAGCAGCCUCCAAGAUGACGAACUGGGAUCUCCAGCUCUGCAGUUCUGAGGGAGCCCAGGGGGUCCUGUCCAUCCCCAGCCCACCCAGGCCAUGGAGCAGCAUCUGGAGCUCCCUCCAGGACAGGGGUCCCUGGGGGUCCAUCCAUGACACUCCUAUCAAUGCCCUUCUCGGUUCAUUUCUUUAACAAAUCUUCCCUUUGCAUCUUGGUGGAAACAGCCUAGAGAUAAUAACAGUAGAUAUGGGUUGACCUAUGGGAUUCCUGGAGUGAUCAAACUGUCAGAUAACAAAAUAAAUAUUUCUCGUGGGCUGGGAUUAAAUCAGA